UUGUGCAAAACGGGUCAAAAUUUGGGAUAAAACGCAACACUAACUGAAAUCACGAUCUGUACAAAUGGAGGUUUAUUGUUAGAAACGGAAGGUUACAUAAGCAAGCUAAGCACUGGCUUUCUGGUUAAUUUUGGGCAUCACAGGGCCAUCCAAAAAGGGUCGUCAAUGAGCAAAUUCAAUGUAAAUUAUCACGGAAGCAGAUUGUUGAACGCUGUAAAAAUUGUCAACUUCAUUAAAAAUAGUCAACUAGAAUGGCCGAAAUGCCUAUGGACUACCCAAAAAGACGGUGAUCAUGCUACGGGGAGCUUGUUCACCCAGCGGUGGGUCCUAAGCUACCAUCUGCUUUACUAUAACCGGAAAUUGAUGUGUGCAAAUGCUACAAGUUUAGAUACAAUUGCUUGCCCCUUCACCUUGCUGUGUGAGGAUGUACCCGAUGUCAAUGUGGGGAAAAAAAAAAAGAAAGAAACAUAUAUGUUCUCUUGAAAUUAAAGGAUGCACGCUCGCAGUUUUGCUUCUUCAGUCUCUUUCAGAAUAUAGAAUCUAUGGUUGGGCUUCCAAAAAUCACGCAGCAUGGUUGCUAAACUGUGUGCGUCCGAUGUGUGACAACCUUGAUGAUGGAAUUAAAGGUGCUUCCUCAUCAACAUUUAGAUCAGAAGAAUUACUACCUCCACCUCCUCCUCCAUUGUUAUCACUGUUGUUACUAGGUACGUAUAUAUCAGAUGACUUCUUCUCCAACUUCCAAUCCUUUGUGAUUCUUUCUGGAAUAGUUUCAGGGAGCUGAGAAGCACGGACAUCCUUAACCUUUAGGUAGUUGUACAUGACAACACCACAAAGUGCAAUUGCAUAACCAAGUAUAUUCAGUCCUGUUAUUGUAGACUCAGGAAAUAUGAUAGUCGAAAGGGCUAUCAGUAUCCAGUCUUUUAAAACGCCAGCAACCCUUAUGGUGACUGCUCCAGUUCUACCAAUUACUAGGAAUAUGGAGAAGUUCAAGGCUAAUGCAGAAAGUGCAUUGGAGAAGAAAAUCCAAAAAUUGAACUGAAUCUGUGAAACUUGCAUCCCAGGCUUCUCCAGUAAAAGCCAAGGCACAAACAAAAAGACAAAACUGCAUGGAGCUAUGUAAUACAAGCUGGUGAUGGGAUUUAAAGUCAAGCCCUUUUUCUGAAGGAGGACCUGAGUUAAUACCAGCCUGAGUGCUUCUGCAAAGAUGCCUGUGACCUGGUAAACUGUGCCAACUACAUUAAAAUGAAUUUCCCCAUAUGAAGAGAUGACAACUCCAACACUGACCAGCACCAUGUUUAAGAACACGUCACACCUUGCUUUGUCAGUGCCACACAUAACAGCCAUGAGAAAUGUUGCCACAGGCAUUAAAGCUUUCAGCAUCUGGAUGAAGGCCACCGAAAUGUACAAAUAAGCAGUGUUACCAAACCAGAGACUUGCGGCAAAGAAGGCACUUAUCGGUAUUACACAUGUUGCAUAUAUUUCAAAAGUCAUUUUGACUGGAGAUACAACCUUGAAUACACGAACAAGGAAAAAGGCUACCAUCCCUGAAAACGCCAUAUGGAUCAUUGUAAGAGUGAUGGGAAAUGGAAAGUUGAAGUACUUUGGUGAGAGAACCCACUUGUUAUACAAGAUUACAGCCGAUGAAAGCAAAAUGUAGAUCAAAAGGUACAAGUAAGUCAAAACUAGCGGCUUGUUGAUGAUCAUUUUUCCUGCUCUAACUCUUUGCAUCAACCAAAAGGAAAAAAGAAAAGAAAAAACGCGAUACUGUAUCAGUGUUUGGUCUCUACAACAUCUUGAUACAAAAUAAACGGAACCACAUUCAUAUGCUUGUCUACUACAGAUUACUCCACGAAAUUAGAGAAAUGUAAUACCAAGGCAAUUAAUUAGAGCACCGACAAUGCGAGGCAGCAAAUCCAAUGAAAUUUUCCAGUUACUAAUCGAUAUUUUUCAAGAAAAUGGAGUCUCUGAUCCAAUCUGGAUGAUUUAGAAGAUCACAAAUCACAAGUAGAAAAGAACAAAUCUGGAUGCGAAUGCUCCAAAUCUUGAUAAAAGAUCAUUUAAAGAAAAAUUUAAAAAAAAAAAAAUAGGAGAUUGAAAGAAAACGCACGCCAAGUAUUGGAGAGUCCACAAGCGCAAAUGCAAAUGCAAAUGCAAAU
RNAcentral lists this unclassified non-coding RNA (2156 nucleotides) under Hevea brasiliensis (rubber tree). The record is from RNAcentral. Lineage: Eukaryota; Viridiplantae; Streptophyta; Magnoliopsida; Malpighiales; Euphorbiaceae.